This 460-nucleotide ribosomal RNA is filed under the name uncultured bacterium. Its description in RNAcentral is "partial 16S ribosomal RNA". It matches the Rfam family "Bacterial small subunit ribosomal RNA", at positions 338 to 795 of the family's 1533-position model. The record is from RNAcentral.
CCUACGGGUGGCUGCAGUGAGGCAUAUUGGUCAAUGGACUAGAGUCUGACCCAGCCAAGUCGCGUGAAGGAUGACUGCCCUAUGGGUUGUAAACUUCUUUUAUAUGGGAAUAAAAUGUUCCACGUGUGGGAUUUUGUAUGUACCAUAUGAAUAAGGAUCGGCUCACUCCGUGCCAGCAGCCGCGGUAAUACGGAGGAUGCGAUCGUUAUCCGGAUUUAUUGGGUUUAAAGGGAGCGUAGGUGGAUUGGUAAGUCAGUUGUGAAAGUUUGCGGCUCAACCGUAAAAUUGCAGUUGAAACUGGCAGUCUGGAGUACAGGAGAGGUAGGCGGAAUUCGUGGUGUAGCGGUGAAAUGCGUAGAUAUCACGAAGAACUCCGAUUGCGAAGGCAGCUCACUGGACUGCAACUGACACUGAGGCUCGAAAGUGUGGGUAUCAAACAGGAUUAGAUACCCGAGUAGUC